This 226-nucleotide unclassified non-coding RNA is filed under the name Hevea brasiliensis (rubber tree). Lineage: Eukaryota; Viridiplantae; Streptophyta; Magnoliopsida; Malpighiales; Euphorbiaceae. The record is from RNAcentral.
CAUUGAGCACCUAUUGGUCAACCUCUGUUGAUGGCAUUGACCUGGAAACAGAACGAAGAGAACGGAAGGGAUGGAGGGUGAAGAUACAUGAUCUCUUUGGCUCAGCUGUUGCGGCAGGCCUCCNNNNNNNNCCAUCAACAGGCUGUGAUUGGGUUGCCAAGUCCAACCCAGGAGCUUGGUUGAUUGUUCGCCCUGAUGUUUGCAGACCUGAGAGCUGGCAGCCAUG